This 711-nucleotide ribosomal RNA is filed under the name Triticum aestivum (bread wheat). RNAcentral describes it as "partial small subunit ribosomal RNA". The record is from RNAcentral. Lineage: Eukaryota; Viridiplantae; Streptophyta; Magnoliopsida; Poales; Poaceae.
AUGGGGGUGCUGCUCGGGGCCAGGCCUGGCUCCCGGUGCUCCGCCGUCGAUGGCGAGGGGACUGUGGAGCUGGCCCAUCUGCCGCCGGCCAUCGUUCCCUACACCAUGAAGCGCUUGCCUUGUUGCUCUGUUCUCAAGGAUGUGGGCAAACAUCCGCCCGAUCUGGUGAUGUCGGUAGUGCCACCGCCGCCCCUCUGGAGCUCCGCUGGCGAGGAGGAGGAGGAGGACGACAGAGAGGAGGAGCUUGCUCCACGGUCGCCGCCGGCUGCCUCCCAGUAUUCCUUGUGCUCUGUUGACGCCAAUGUUGCUCAUGCGGGGCCGUGGGCAUCUCUGGUUGAUGUAGAUGGCCAGGGUUCAGGCGAGGAAUGUGACAACAACGAUUCUGGCAAAGGGGACCUGGCGCCACCGAAGACGGCAACGUCUGUUGUCGAAGGCUCAUGCUCUGGUGCGGUUGGUGCGUCGACUGCUUGCUUGUAUCCUUGCGAUCAGGCGGAAGCUGUGGUCACACAACCCGGGGAUGGUCCCUGGAUUUACGUCGGACGAAGGCGUCGUCCCCGUUGUCACGUGCCUUGCAGCAAGUCUUCCACGUCCCCGACCUUUCAUGAUGCAAGGUCUGUGCAAGCCGACACAUUCAAGAGGAGAACCCGUGGUCGAUGUUUCCGUUGCUUGGCUCCGGACCACAAGGUUGCGUCCUGCCGCGACCCGUUUUGA